This 68-nucleotide transfer RNA is filed under the name Marmota monax (woodchuck). RNAcentral's name for it is "tRNA.Ala". Lineage: Eukaryota; Metazoa; Chordata; Mammalia; Rodentia; Sciuridae. The record is from RNAcentral.
GGAUUGUGGCUCAGCGGUAGAGCACACGCCUAGCACGGGCGGGACCCGGAGUUCGAUCCUCAGCACCA